AUUUCUUAAUAUUGUUUGUUUUUGUGCAAAUAAAAUACUAGUUUUCUUAAUCAGUAAUCAGGGAAUAAGGGACAAGCUUAUUUAGCUAUUCAGAUUUAUUGUUGUCUUGUAUACCCAUAUUUGUGUAAACGUACAUGAAUUAAUAGCUACAUCAUUCGUCUAUUUCAUCAUUAACUGUGUAGAUUUCUUUAACUAUAACCAUUACAUAGGUGCCCAUAUUUAUGUUCUACUUUGUUAGCGGGCAGAGCACAUUACAGGCAUUAAAAGACAUGACUGAUUCAAUGCUUGGUAUGGCUGGCUGAUUAACCUUAAAUUUAAACAUACUCAACGUUUCAUCUGCACCAGUGUGAAAUUCAACACAAGGGAAAAAAAUACAAGAGUCACUGAGUUAUAU
Molecule: non-coding RNA, 394 nt
Organism: Pelobates cultripes (western spadefoot toad)
Lineage: Eukaryota; Metazoa; Chordata; Amphibia; Anura; Pelobatidae
Source: the annotation of a GenBank genome assembly